This is a non-coding RNA of Melozone crissalis (California towhee), 369 nucleotides long. The record is from the annotation of a RefSeq genome assembly. Lineage: Eukaryota; Metazoa; Chordata; Aves; Passeriformes; Passerellidae.
ACCCUGCUGGAGUGCGGGGGAGACCUCCAGCCCCCCGGAGGGUCCCUGCGCCUCCUCUGCCGAGGGUCCGGGUUUGAUUUCGGGAGUUUUGGCAUGCACUGGGUGCGCCAGAGACCCGGGCAGGGGCUGGAAUACAUCGCCAGGAUCUACAACCCUGGUGGCACCACCUACUACAAUCCAUCGGUCAAGGGCCGGUUCACGAUCUCCAGGGACAACGGGCAGAGCUCGGUGACGCUGACCAUGAACAACCUCAAGGAUGAGGAUUCCGCCACCUAUUUCUGUGCCAAGAGUGCUGGUGCUGCCGUGACCCUGCUGGAGUGCCGGGCGCACCUCCAGGCCCCCGGGGGGUCCCUGUGCCUCCUCUGCUGA